Harpia harpyja (harpy eagle) is the source of this 859-nucleotide long non-coding RNA. RefSeq lists it as uncharacterized. The transcript has 3 exons. NCBI's taxonomy places the organism in Eukaryota, Metazoa, Chordata, Aves, Accipitriformes, Accipitridae. The record is from RefSeq and is a predicted model, not a curated record.
GGCAGCUCAAUGGCGAAUUUAACUUUCUUACUAAAGUAGCCUUGGAAAAUGCUGCCUCGGCCUGGUGGCGAGGGGAUCGGUGUGGCUAGCCCAGGGCGUGGGCUGAAGGAGGGGGGACUCAAACCUUAUCAAGCCUGCCACUCCACCUCCCGCCUCGCUGGAGUGGACGCAGGAGUCGGUAACCCUUACAAGAGCCAAUAACCCCAAACGCAUUCCCUUCUCGCCCACACAGUCUCGCAAGUGGAGGGACUUGGCCACAGCCUUGCCACAGGCCCUUGCAAGAGGAAGCAUCUGGCGAUGGGAGACGUGGUUCCCUGAGGCUUGGGAAAUGAAGAAGGCAUUUUCCUGGGACACCAGCACAGCUGUCUACUUCUGGGCUCAGACUGUGAACCUCUCCAGCUUUGGUUGGAGCCAGCUGAUACUUCUUCCCACAAGGACUGCUCUGGAAUAAGCUCGACAGAAAAGGUUUUGUUUGGUUUGUGAAUACCCGAGGCAAAAGUCUGACCUUAGUGAGGUCAAGAGAAAAAACCCUUCCUGAUCUCCCCAAGAUCUGGAGUUCCCCCUCUGUGCCCACACUGGGAAUCACUUGAAGAAGUACUUGAUUCUCUUCUUGAGCUUUUAUGACUUUUAGCAGUGUAAAAAGAGUCAAAACACAGCGUGGCAUCUUGGGAAAACCUGAAAUACAUAAAGACGUGAACACUGACAUCUAGUAGUACGGUCCUAAACAGUUGACCGCUUUGUGAAACCUUUCUUUGCAGAAAGCUUGCUUGGUUCAUGUCUUCAGUACCCUGUGUUUUGUUAUCUGUAGCCUGCCGGUUAGAGUGAUAUUUGCUUCUUUUUUUGUACUGUUUUCAUUUGG